AGAGUUUGAUCAUGGCUCAGAUUGAACGCUGGCGGCAUGCUUAAUACAUGCAAGUCGAGGGGUAAGAGUCACAUCGGUGCCUGCCGGCGAGUGGCGAACGGGUGAGUAAUGCAUCGGAACGUACCCAGUCGUGGGGGAUAGCGCAGCGAAAGUUGGGCUAAUACCGCAUAGCCGUCCUGAGGGCGAAAGCAGGGGAUCAACGGACCUUGUGCGAUUGGAGCGGCCGAUGUCAGAUUAGCUAGUUGGUGAGGUAAAAGCUCACCAAGGCGACGAUCGGUAGCUGGUCUGAGAGGAUGAUCAGCCACACUGGAACUGAGACACGGUCCAGACUCCUACGGGAGGCAGCAGUGGGGAAUUUUGGACAAUGGGGGGCAACCCUGAUCCAGCCAUGCCGCGUGAGUGAAGAAGGGCUUCGGGUUGUAAAGCUCUUUCGGCCGGGGAAGAAAGGGAGCUGAAUAAUACCCUGUAUGGAUGACGGUACCGGAAUAAGAAGCACCGGCUAACUACGUGCCAGCAGCCGCGGUAAUACGUAGGGUGCGAGCGUUAAUCGGAAUUACUGGGCGUAAAGCGUGCGCAGGCGGUUUUGUAAGACAGGCGUGAAAUCCCCGGGCUCAACCUGGGAACUGCGCUUGUGACUGCAAGACUAGAGUACGGCAGAGGGGGGUGGAAUUCCACGUGUAGAAGUAAAAU
Molecule: ribosomal RNA, 690 nt
Filed under: uncultured bacterium
Lineage: Bacteria
Description: bacterial SSU rRNA
Rfam family: Bacterial small subunit ribosomal RNA
Source: RNAcentral